Molecule: ribosomal RNA, 1521 nt
Filed under: Salmonella enterica
Lineage: Bacteria; Pseudomonadati; Pseudomonadota; Gammaproteobacteria; Enterobacterales; Enterobacteriaceae
Also listed under: 3 other names
Description: bacterial SSU rRNA
Rfam family: Bacterial small subunit ribosomal RNA
Source: RNAcentral
AGAGUUUGAUCAUGGCUCAGAUUGAACGCUGGCGGCAGGCCUAACACAUGCAAGUCGAACGGUAACAGGAAGCAGCUUGCUGCUUUGCUGACGAGUGGCGGACGGGUGAGUAAUGUCUGGGAAACUGCCUGAUGGAGGGGGAUAACUACUGGAAACGGUGGCUAAUACCGCAUAACGUCGCAAGACCAAAGAGGGGGACCUUCGGGCCUCUUGCCAUCAGAUGUGCCCAGAUGGGAUUAGCUUGUUGGUGAGGUAACGGCUCACCAAGGCGACGAUCCCUAGCUGGUCUGAGAGGAUGACCAGCCACACUGGAACUGAGACACGGUCCAGACUCCUACGGGAGGCAGCAGUGGGGAAUAUUGCACAAUGGGCGCAAGCCUGAUGCAGCCAUGCCGCGUGUAUGAAGAAGGCCUUCGGGUUGUAAAGUACUUUCAGCGGGGAGGAAGGUGUUGUGGUUAAUAACCGCAGCAAUUGACGUUACCCGCAGAAGAAGCACCGGCUAACUCCGUGCCAGCAGCCGCGGUAAUACGGAGGGUGCAAGCGUUAAUCGGAAUUACUGGGCGUAAAGCGCACGCAGGCGGUCUGUCAAGUCGGAUGUGAAAUCCCCGGGCUCAACCUGGGAACUGCAUUCGAAACUGGCAGGCUUGAGUCUUGUAGAGGGGGGUAGAAUUCCAGGUGUAGCGGUGAAAUGCGUAGAGAUCUGGAGGAAUACCGGUGGCGAAGGCGGCCCCCUGGACAAAGACUGACGCUCAGGUGCGAAAGCGUGGGGAGCAAACAGGAUUAGAUACCCUGGUAGUCCACGCCGUAAACGAUGUCUACUUGGAGGUUGUGCCCUUGAGGCGUGGCUUCCGGAGCUAACGCGUUAAGUAGACCGCCUGGGGAGUACGGCCGCAAGGUUAAAACUCAAAUGAAUUGACGGGGGCCCGCACAAGCGGUGGAGCAUGUGGUUUAAUUCGAUGCAACGCGAAGAACCUUACCUGGUCUUGACAUCCACGGAAGUUUUCAGAGAUGGAAUGUGCCUUCGGGAACCGUGAGACAGGUGCUGCAUGGCUGUCGUCAGCUCGUGUUGUGAAAUGUUGGGUUAAGUCCCGCAACGAGCGCAACCCUUAUCCUUUGUUGCCAGCGGUCCGGCCGGGAACUCAAAGGAGACUGCCAGUGAUAAACUGGAGGAAGGUGGGGAUGACGUCAAGUCAUCAUGGCCCUUACGACCAGGGCUACACACGUGCUACAAUGGCGCAUACAAAGAGAAGCGACCUCGCGAGAGCAAGCGGACCUCAUAAAGUGCGUCGUAGUCCGGAUUGGAGUCUGCAACUCGACUCCAUGAAGUCGGAAUCGCUAGUAAUCGUGGAUCAGAAUGCCACGGUGAAUACGUUCCCGGGCCUUGUACACACCGCCCGUCACACCAUGGGAGUGGGUUGCAAAAGAAGUAGGUAGCUUAACCUUCGGGAGGGCGCUUACCACUUUGUGAUUCAUGACUGGGGUGAAGUCGUAACAAGGUAACCGUAGGGGAACCUGCGGUUG